GAGGGUGUAGCUCAGUGGUAGAGUGCUUGCUUAGCAUGCAGGAGGUCCUAGAUUGAAUCCCCAGUACCUCUG
This 72-nucleotide transfer RNA is filed under the name Camelus bactrianus (Bactrian camel). It matches the Rfam family "tRNA". Rfam says of the family: Transfer RNA (tRNA) molecules are approximately 80 nucleotides in length. The record is from Rfam by way of RNAcentral. RNAcentral also lists the same sequence under 2 other names. Lineage: Eukaryota; Metazoa; Chordata; Mammalia; Artiodactyla; Camelidae.